ACUAUUUAGGCGGAAUAGCGCGUUAAAUUUAGGAUUUAAAGGUGAUUUAUAAUCAAGUAGUG
This 62-nucleotide transfer RNA is filed under the name Pseudoniphargus sp. 2-Canaries. RNAcentral describes it as "tRNA-Leu". The record is from RNAcentral. Lineage: Eukaryota; Metazoa; Arthropoda; Malacostraca; Amphipoda; Allocrangonyctidae.